Molecule: ribosomal RNA, 253 nt
Filed under: uncultured bacterium
Lineage: Bacteria
Description: partial 16S ribosomal RNA
Rfam family: Bacterial small subunit ribosomal RNA
Source: RNAcentral
UACGUAGGGGGCAAGCGUUGUCCGGAUUUACUGGGCGUAAAGCGCACGUAGGCGGAUUUGUAAGUCAGGGGUGAAAUCCCGGGGCUCAACCUCGGAACUGCCUUUGAUACUGCAAAUCUCGAGUCCGGAAGAGGUGAGUGGAAUUCCUAGUGUAGAGGUGAAAUUCGUAGAUAUUAGGAAGAACACCAGUGGCGAAGGCGGCUCACUGGUCCGGUACUGACGCUGAGGUGCGAAAGCGUGGGGAGCAAACAGG